RNAcentral lists this ribosomal RNA (463 nucleotides) under Anthocharis scolymus. Its description in RNAcentral is "partial 16S ribosomal RNA". The stretch from base 1 to 123 matches the Rfam family "Archaeal large subunit ribosomal RNA", at positions 1944 to 2099 of the family's 2987-position model. The record is from RNAcentral. Lineage: Eukaryota; Metazoa; Arthropoda; Insecta; Lepidoptera; Pieridae.
GUUUAAUCUGCCCACUGAAUUUAUUUAAAGGGCUGCAGUAUAUUGACUGUACAAAGGUAGCAUAAUAAAUAGUCUUUUAAUUGAAGACUUGUAUGAAUGAUUUAAUGAAAUAUAAACUGUCUCAUUAUUAUAAAUAGAAAUUAAUUUUUUAGUUAAAAAGCUAAAAUAAAUAUAAAAGACGAGAAGACCCUAUAGAGUUUUAUAGUUUUUUAUAUGUUAAUUUUAUAUAAAAUUUGAAAUUAAUAUAUAGUAAAUUAUUUUGUUGGGGUGAUAGAAAAAUUAAAAAAACUUUUUUUUAAAAAUUAACAUUAAUAUAUGAAUAUUUGAUCCAUAAUUUAUGAUUAAAAGAGUAAAUUACCUUAGGGAUAACAGCGUAAUUUUUUUUUUUAGUUCAAAUAAAAAAAAAAGUUUGCGACCUCGAUGUUGGAUUAAGAUAAAAUAUAAAUGCAAAAGUUUAAAAUUU